This 254-nucleotide ribosomal RNA is filed under the name uncultured bacterium. RNAcentral's name for it is "partial 16S ribosomal RNA". It matches the Rfam family "Bacterial small subunit ribosomal RNA", at positions 524 to 776 of the family's 1533-position model. The record is from RNAcentral.
UACAUGGGGUGCAAACGUUUGCUCGGAAUUAUUGGGCGUAAAGCGCACGUAGGCGGCUUUGUAAGUUAGAGGUGAAAGCCCGGGGCUCAACUCCGGAAUUGCCUUUAAGACUGCAUCGCUAGAAUUGUGGAGAGGUAAGUGGAAUUCCGAGUGUAGAGGUGAAAUUCGUAGAUAUUCGGAAGAACACCAGUGGCGAAGGCGACUUACUGGACACAUAUUGACGCUGAGGUGCGAAAGCGUGGGGAGCAAACAGG